CUUCUGCCCAUGCUUCCUGGUUCUGAACCUUAGGGCCAGCCUGGCUAGCCUGGGCUAGACAGUUCUGGUUUCCAGGACAGUGUGUGCCAGAUACAGCCCACACCCACGGGAGCCCACAGGGCCUGAGCUGGAGACAACAUUUGCCUCUGAUAAGAUCUUUGUGAGGACCAGGAAGGGCUCCAGGCUGCAGCUCCAGGGCCACCUUCCAGCUUCGAUACCCAUUAUAGUCCAGAGACUCAGAGAAGCACAGAGGAAACUGAGCUCAAGAGAAAUCCCUACCCUGGCUGUUCUUGGCAGGAGAAGAAUUGUGAGGAGACCAGGUGGCAUCUCUCCAUGUCAGUGACCUGCCGCGCUCAAAGCCUGCGAGUGAUCACGGGCUCCUUCCAGCUGCCCAGGGGCUGCAGGAAGUGGCUAUGGCCAGCUCCCACCUCAGAGAUGGGGAAACUUAAGCUCUCAGAAAUGACUUAUCCAAGGCUUCCAAAAUUUGUUGGUGACACUGUCAUAUCACGGUGCCUGACUCUCCAACAUCUGUCCGACUCCAAGACGGUACAGAUGCUCAAUCCAGCAACACAUCUCUAAGGGAGGCCUUAAGAAAGGAA
Molecule: long non-coding RNA, 599 nt
Organism: Perognathus longimembris pacificus (Pacific pocket mouse)
Lineage: Eukaryota; Metazoa; Chordata; Mammalia; Rodentia; Heteromyidae
Exons: 3
Source: RefSeq, a predicted model, not a curated record